RNAcentral lists this ribosomal RNA (774 nucleotides) under uncultured Neocallimastigales. RNAcentral's name for it is "partial large subunit ribosomal RNA". It matches the Rfam family "Eukaryotic large subunit ribosomal RNA", at positions 23 to 648 of the family's 3401-position model. The record is from RNAcentral. Lineage: Eukaryota; Fungi; Neocallimastigomycota; Neocallimastigomycetes; Neocallimastigales.
GAGAUGUGUGAUGACGCAUAUCAAUAAGCGGAGGAAAAGAAACUAACAAGGAUUCCCUUAGUAACGGCGAGUGAAGCGGGAAGAGCUCAAAUUUGAAAUCUUCAAGGUUCUACCUUGACGAAUUGUAGUUUAUAGAAGUGUUUUCUGUUAGUAGAGUGGCAAAAGUUCUUUGGAAUAGGACAUCAUAGAGGGUGAGAAUCCCGUAUUUGGUCAUUCUUUCUAGCUUUGUGAUACACUUUCAACGAGUCGGAUUGUUUGGGAAUGCAGUCCAAAAUGGGUGGUAAAUUUCAUCUAAAGCUAAAUAUUGGCGAGAGACCGAUAGCGAACAAGUACCGUGAGGGAAAGAUGAAAAGAACUUUGAAAAGAGAGUUAAACAGUACGUGAAAUUGUCAAAAGGGAAGCGUUUGACACCAGUGUUGUUUUUCCGAAAAUCAAUUACGAAUGUUUUGUUUUUGAGAAGUUAUGACUUCAUCGGCUUGCUUCUCUCUUUAUGAAACUUUCUUAAUGCACUUUUCGGUUAACAAGUCAACAUCAAUUUCUUUUGUUGUAAAAGGGUAUGAGGAAGGUGGCUUUCUUUUCGGAGAAAGUGUUUAUAGCCUUGUACCUCUGCAAUCGGAGAGAUUGAGGUCUGCAGCGUAGAUCCUUCGGGGUUAGGAUACAUUUGUGCUAAGUUAUAGCUUUUCAUAGACAACUUGUUGACUAUGUUAAGUCUUGUAGCUUACUCGCUUAUGCUAUUUUACCUACGCUUAGGAUGUUGACGAUCAGCUGAGCGCG